GGGUUGUGAGGUUAAGCGACUAAGCGUACACGGUGGAUGCCCUGGCAGUCAGAGGCGAUGAAGGACGUGCUAAUCUGCGAUAAGCGUCGGUAAGGUGAUAUGAACCGUUAUAACCGGCGAUUUCCGAAUGGGGAAACCCAGUGUGAUUCGUCACACUAUCAUUAACUGAAUCCAUAGGUUAAUGAGGCGAACCGGGGGAACUGAAACAUCUAAGUACCCCGAGGAAAAGAAAUCAACCGAGAUUCCCCCAGUAGCGGCGAGCGAACGGGGAGCAGCCCAGAGCCUGAAUCAGUGUGUGUGUUAGUGGAAGCGUCUGGAAAGGCGUGCGAUACAGGGUGACAGCCCCGUACACAAAAAUGCACAUACUGUGAGCUCGAUGAGUAGGGCGGGACACGUGGUAUCCUGUCUGAAUAUGGGGGGACCAUCCUCCAAGGCUAAAUACUCCUGACUGACCGAUAGUGAACCAGUACCGUGAGGGAAAGGCGAAAAGAACCCCGGCGAGGGGAGUGAAAAAGAACCUGAAACCGUGUACGUACAAGCAGUGGGAGCACGCUUAGGCGUGUGACUGCGUACCUUUUGUAUAAUGGGUCAGCGACUUAUAUUCUGUAGCAAGGUUAACCGAAUAGGGGAGCCGAAGGGAAACCGAGUCUUAACUGGGCGUUAAGUUGCAGGGUAUAGACCCGAAACCCGGUGAUCUAGCCAUGGGCAGGUUGAAGGUUGGGUAACACUAACUGGAGGACCGAACCGACUAAUGUUGAAAAAUUAGCGGAUGACUUGUGGCUGGGGGUGAAAGGCCAAUCAAACCGGGAGAUAGCUGGUUCUCCCCGAAAGCUAUUUAGGUAGCGCCUCGUGAAUUCAUCUCCGGGGGUAGAGCACUGUUUCGGCAAGGGGGUCAUCCCGACUUACCAACCCGAUGCAAACUGCGAAUACCGGAGAAUGUUAUCACGGGAGACACACGGCGGGUGCUAACGUCCGUCGUGAAGAGGGAAACAACCCAGACCGCCAGCUAAGGUCCCAAAGUCAUGGUUAAGUGGGAAACGAUGUGGGAAGGCCCAGACAGCCAGGAUGUUGGCUUAGAAGCAGCCAUCAUUUAAAGAAAGCGUAAUAGCUCACUGGUCGAGUCGGCCUGCGCGGAAGAUGUAACGGGGCUAAACCAUGCACCGAAGCUGCGGCAGCGACGCUUAUGCGUUGUUGGGUAGGGGAGCGUUCUGUAAGCCUGUGAAGGUGUGCUGUGAGGUAUGCUGGAGGUAUCAGAAGUGCGAAUGCUGACAUAAGUAACGAUAAAGCGGGUGAAAAGCCCGCUCGCCGGAAGACCAAGGGUUCCUGUCCAACGUUAAUCGGGGCAGGGUGAGUCGACCCCUAAGGCGAGGCCGAAAGGCGUAGUCGAUGGGAAACAGGUUAAUAUUCCUGUACUUGGUGUUACUGCGAAGGGGGACGGAGAAGGCUAUGUUGGCCGGGCGACGGUUGUCCCGGUUUAAGCGUGUAGGCUGGUUUUCCAGGCAAAUCCGGAAAAUCAAGGCCGAGGCGUGAUGACGAGGCACUACGGUGCUGAAGCAACAAAUGCCCUGCUUCCAGGAAAAGCCUCUAAGCAUCAGGUAACAUCAAAUCGUACCCCAAACCGACACAGGUGGUCAGGUAGAGAAUACCAAGGCGCUUGAGAGAACUCGGGUGAAGGAACUAGGCAAAAUGGUGCCGUAACUUCGGGAGAAGGCACGCUGAUACGUAGGUGAAGCGACUUGCUCGUGGAGCUGAAAUCAGUCGAAGAUACCAGCUGGCUGCAACUGUUUAUUAAAAACACAGCACUGUGCAAACACGAAAGUGGACGUAUACGGUGUGACGCCUGCCCGGUGCCGGAAGGUUAAUUGAUGGGGUUAGCGCAAGCGAAGCUCUUGAUCGAAGCCCCGGUAAACGGCGGCCGUAACUAUAACGGUCCUAAGGUAGCGAAAUUCCUUGUCGGGUAAGUUCCGACCUGCACGAAUGGCGUAAUGAUGGCCAGGCUGUCUCCACCCGAGACUCAGUGAAAUUGAACUCACUGUGAAGAUGCAGUGUACCCGCGGCAAGACGGAAAGACCCCGUGAACCUUUACUAUAGCUUGACACUGAACAUUGAGCCUUGAUGUGUAGGAUAGGUGGGAGGCUUUGAAGUGUGGACGCCAGUCUGCAUGGAGCCGACCUUGAAAUACCACCCUUUAAUGUUUGAUGUUCUAACGUGGACCCGUGAUCCGGGUUGCGGACAGUGUCUGGUGGGUAGUUUGACUGGGGCGGUCUCCUCCUAAAGAGUAACGGAGGAGCACGAAGGUUGGCUAAUCCUGGUCGGACAUCAGGAGGUUAGUGCAAUGGCAUAAGCCAGCUUGACUGCGAGCGUGACGGCGCGAGCAGGUGCGAAAGCAGGUCAUAGUGAUCCGGUGGUUCUGAAUGGAAGGGCCAUCGCUCAACGGAUAAAAGGUACUCCGGGGAUAACAGGCUGAUACCGCCCAAGAGUUCAUAUCGACGGCGGUGUUUGGCACCUCGAUGUCGGCUCAUCACAUCCUGGGGCUGAAGUAGGUCCCAAGGGUAUGGCUGUUCGCCAUUUAAAGUGGUACGCGAGCUGGGUUUAGAACGUCGUGAGACAGUUCGGUCCCUAUCUGCCGUGGGCGCUGGAGAACUGAGGGGGGCUGCUCCUAGUACGAGAGGACCGGAGUGGACGCAUCACUGGUGUUCGGGUUGUCAUGCCAAUGGCACUGCCCGGUAGCUAAAUGCGGAAGAGAUAAGUGCUGAAAGCAUCUAAGCACGAAACUUGCCCCGAGAUGAGUUCUCCCUGACCCUUUAAGGGUCCUGAAGGAACGUUGAAGACGACGACGUUGAUAGGCCGGGUGUGUAAGCGCAGCGAUGCGUUGAGCUAACCGGUACUAAUGAACCGUGAGGCUUAACCUUACAACGCCGAAG
This 2924-nucleotide ribosomal RNA is filed under the name Shigella flexneri 1a. RNAcentral describes it as "bacterial LSU rRNA". It matches the Rfam family "Bacterial large subunit ribosomal RNA". The record is from RNAcentral. Lineage: Bacteria; Pseudomonadati; Pseudomonadota; Gammaproteobacteria; Enterobacterales; Enterobacteriaceae.